AUGCCACCACCCUGGAGCGCCUCGGCCUGGCCGACCUGUCCUCCCCGCACCCCCGCGCGCGCUCCGCCGCCAUGGGCAUCGCUAGCCCCCUCCAGGCCGCGGGGCGGCGCCGGGGAUGCGGCCGCGACCGCGACGACGCCCGUGCUCGUCUCCGUCGACGUGGCCCGGCGCCGUGGCCGGCUCCGGCUCCGGCUCGACGGCAUCCUGCGCACCGUCAUCACCCUCGGCUGCUACCGGUCACCAUCCAUGCCAGUGCCCAUCACCUACCUGCUGCUUCUCAUCUCAUCCUCUUACCUGCUGUUGCUGUAUGUCAUGUCUGCACCAUGGACAGAAAAUUCAGAGUCAACUGAAAGAAAUUCUUGA
RNAcentral lists this ribosomal RNA (363 nucleotides) under Triticum aestivum (bread wheat). RNAcentral describes it as "partial small subunit ribosomal RNA". The record is from RNAcentral. Lineage: Eukaryota; Viridiplantae; Streptophyta; Magnoliopsida; Poales; Poaceae.